This 253-nucleotide ribosomal RNA is filed under the name uncultured bacterium. RNAcentral's name for it is "partial 16S ribosomal RNA". It matches the Rfam family "Bacterial small subunit ribosomal RNA", at positions 524 to 776 of the family's 1533-position model. The record is from RNAcentral.
UACAGAGGGUGCGAGCGUUAAUCGGAAUUACUGGGCGUAAAGCGCACGUAGGUGGCGACGUAAGUCGGGUGUGAAAGCCCCGGGCUCAACCUGGGAAUUGCAUUCGAGACUGCAUUGCUGGAGUACGGAAGAGGAAGGCGGAAUUCCCGGUGUAGCGGUGAAAUGCGUAGAUAUCGGAAGGAACAUCAGUGGCGAAAGCGGCUUCCUGGACCAGUACCGACGUUCAGGCACGAAAGCGUGGGGAGCAAACAGG